UCCGAGUUGACCCCGGCAGUCUCCCAUGAGUCCCCGCCAUAACGCGCUGGCAACAUGGAACGAGGGUUGCGCUCGUUGCGGGACUUAACCCAACAUCUCACGACACGAGCUGACGACAACCAUGCACCACCUGUGAACCGGCCCCAAAAGGAGAAACCACAUCUCUGCGGCGGUCCGGUCCAUGUCAAGCCUUGGUAAGGUUCUUCGCGUUGCAUCGAAUUAAUCCGCAUGCUCCGCCGCUUGUGCGGGCCCCCGUCAAUUCCUUUGAGUUUUAGCCUUGCGGCCGUACUCCCCAGGCGGGGCGCUUAAUGCGUUAGCUGCGGCACGGAAUCCGUGGAAUGGACCCCACACCUAGCGCCCAACGUUUACGGUGUGGACUAC
This 381-nucleotide unclassified non-coding RNA is filed under the name uncultured Actinomycetes bacterium. RNAcentral's name for it is "uncultured actinobacterium contains 16S-23S intergenic spacer region". The record is from RNAcentral. Lineage: Bacteria; Bacillati; Actinomycetota; Actinomycetes.